GAGCUUCUCAAGCGCAAAGCGCGUCGCCGGUCGUCCGGCGUCCAAGAAACCAAAAUGGUUUCCAAGCGUUGUUGAAAGGUAUCUUAUCCUGAAUUCGGUAGGGAUAAGAAGCGAACACGGGGAACUGAAACAUCUAAUUUCUUGCAGGACAGGACAUCGACCAAGCCCCCUCCCCUUGUGGGGAGCGAACGCGGACCAGGCCCGUGUCAAUGAGGAAUGAAAUGGAACUGUUUGGAAAGGCCGGCCGCAGCGGGUGACACCCCCCAACAAAAACAAUACUCUUUGUCCUUGAGUAGGACAAGAAAAAAAGAUUUUCCAACCNGAAUGUUGCAGACACGAAU
RNAcentral lists this ribosomal RNA (341 nucleotides) under Sinorhizobium saheli. RNAcentral describes it as "partial 23S ribosomal RNA". It matches the Rfam family "Bacterial large subunit ribosomal RNA", at positions 128 to 457 of the family's 2925-position model. Lineage: Bacteria; Pseudomonadati; Pseudomonadota; Alphaproteobacteria; Hyphomicrobiales; Rhizobiaceae. The record is from RNAcentral.